ACCUAAAUAGCUUAUUGUGUAGAGUAUAACAUUGAAGAUGUUAGGGAAAUAUUUUUAUUUUUAGGUA
This 67-nucleotide transfer RNA is filed under the name Locusta migratoria (migratory locust). RNAcentral's name for it is "transfer RNA-Phe". RNAcentral also lists the same sequence under 3 other names. The record is from RNAcentral. Lineage: Eukaryota; Metazoa; Arthropoda; Insecta; Orthoptera; Acrididae.